AUCAUUUCUUCGCAUUUUGUUUAGAAUCAAGUGUGGUAUUUAUUGUACUCAAUUUAAUAUCUGAUUUGUUUUCUAAACGAGAGCGUAAUAUUAAGCAGAUUUUUUUUAGAACAAGGAGUUGGGGUAGGAAUUUGCUCUUUCAGUUCCAUAUACCAACCUGAUGUUGUAGUACUUCUAUCUUUGUUCUAGAAAAA
Neoarius graeffei (lesser salmon catfish) is the source of this 194-nucleotide small nuclear RNA. RefSeq annotates it as U2 spliceosomal RNA. The record is from RefSeq and is a predicted model, not a curated record. NCBI's taxonomy places the organism in Eukaryota, Metazoa, Chordata, Actinopteri, Siluriformes, Ariidae. The transcript has a single exon.